RNAcentral lists this long non-coding RNA (1116 nucleotides) under Mustela putorius furo (domestic ferret). RNAcentral's name for it is "lncRNA (ENSMPUG00000025924.1)". The record is from RNAcentral. Lineage: Eukaryota; Metazoa; Chordata; Mammalia; Carnivora; Mustelidae.
GUUUCAAGGCUGGAGAAGAAUGCUUUAUGGCUUGAUGCUCUGCUCUCCUGCCUUACCGCUCCACCCUCUGGGCCUGUAGCUCUGCCUUCUGCUUCUGCUUUCCUCUCUACCUCUGCCCUUGGAGUUGUUCUUUCUUUUCCUGAAGAGUAGCAAAUGUUUGAAGACAACAAGAGUUCAGCAGAGAGAGGAGAGAACAAGUUCCACAACUGAGCCAGCUUUUGGCUUGCUAUUGGGCUCUCAUAGAGACUGAAGGCUUGACCAUGAACCACCAAAUGAGCAUGUCAUCUAAACUUCCACUGUGACCUUGGUCUUGUUGUCUGACUUACCAAGUCCAACAUUGUCAUGCACAGUAAUACCACACCAUCAAAUAGAAGUGAAAUGUGUGAAACUGGACUCCAGCAAUCCCUGAAGGUACAAGUAAUUCGCACGAGAAAGUGGCCCAAAUGCCUGUGGUCUUGUGGUUGUCCCCUGCGAUGAACUGAUGAGGAAGAGAAAACUCAGGCCCAGUUUACAGAUGGAUCUGCAUGAUAAACAGGCACCAUCUGGAAGUUGACAGCUGUACUACUUUCUGGGUACUUUCUUGCUUUUAUUCCCCUGAAGGCCCACGGUGUAAAGAAAUCCUCCUAGGCGGUAGAAUAUCAAGCUGGGCACUUGGUUAUUCAUUUCAUCUGGAAGGAAAAAUGGCCAGAGCCUCUUACAUAGAUGGUGAGGAAGACAACCUAAUCCAGUGGUUGAAUCUCAAGUGGAUAGAACAAGAAGCUGAUGUCAAGAAAAGAAAUGUUGGGGAUGCCUGUGUGGCUCAGUGGGUUAAGCCUCUGCCUUCAGCUCAGGUCAUGAUCCCAGGGUCCUGGGAUCGAGCCCCGUAUUGGGCUCUCUGCUCAGUGGGGAGCCUGCUUUUCCCCUCUCUCUGCCUGCCUCUCUGCCUACUUGUGAUCUCUGUCUGUCAAAUAAAUAAAUAAAAUCUUUAAAAAAAGAAAAAGAAAAGAAAUGUUGUAGCACAAAGUUAAAAUCCUUUGUUCCUUCCUUAGGUUGAAAAAGCCAACCAUAACAGCAUAGGUGGGGUAGCAGUUCAUUGGGCAAUAACUGAGGACUGAAAGUGGAUCAGUGUAAGGAAAC